Molecule: long non-coding RNA, 8243 nt
Organism: Felis catus (domestic cat)
Lineage: Eukaryota; Metazoa; Chordata; Mammalia; Carnivora; Felidae
Exons: 2
Source: RefSeq, a predicted model, not a curated record
UAUAAACACUGGGGUUCAAGUGCCCCUCUGCAUCAGCACUCCUGUGUCCCUUGGGUCAAUUCCUAGCAGGGCUAUUGCUGGGUCAUAGGGUAGAUCUAUUUUUAAUUUUUUGAGGAACCUGGAGGAUAGUGACAUUUGAGUUACAGGCAAGUAAAGCACAGGGCCCUCCCAGCAUGGGUGGGCCUCACCCGAUCCGUUGAAGGCCCGAUGGGAACAGAACACUGACCCAAGGGCGGGUGAGGAGCGCUUCUCGGCCGGCCCGUCUUCGAGGAGGGGCACGUCUUCCGUUCAGAGAAUGCACAUUGGCCACGGGCUCUCCUGGGUAUCCAGCUUGCUGACUGCAAAUCUGGGACUCCUUGGCCUCCAUAACCUGGGAGUCAGUUCCUGAUAAUCCCUCUGUGUAUGGAUGCACGCGCACACACAUGUGCACACACACACAUGCACACACACGCGCGCACACACACACACGCACACACGUGCACACGCACACGCACACGCCUCCUAUUGGGUCUGUUUCUCCAGACACUACUGCUGUCUAACAAACCACCCCCCAGUUAGUGGCUUCAAACAACACACACUUCUUGUCUCACAGCGUCUAUGGCUCUUAGCUGGGGCUCCUGCUCAGGGUCUCAGAGCUGCAGUCAAGACCUGGCCAGGCUGCAUUUCCUUUGGGAGCUCAUCUGUGUGCAACCCCACUCCCAAGGCCGCUCAGCGUGCUGGCAGAGUCCCUUUCCUUGUGUCUGAGGGGCAGUAACCCAGCUUCUGGCUGUCAGCUGGAAGCCAUCCUCUGCGAUCAGACGCCGUCUGUGGCUCCCAGAAGUUGUCUACAGCCACUAGAGGUCAUUUGCAGCCGUUAGACAUCACACAUAGCUCCUAGAGGUCAUUGUGGCUCCUAGGGGUGAACCAUGGCUCCUGGACAUCAUCAUAGCUCUUAAAGGUCACUGUGGCUCUUAGAGAUCAUUUGUGGCCACUAGAGAUCACCCACAGCUCCUAGAGGUCAUGGAACUUCUAGAGGUCAUCCAUAGCUCCUAGGGAUGGUCCUAACUCCUAAGGGCAGUCCCCAGCUCCUAGCGGUUGUUCCCAGCUCCUAGGGUUUGUCCCCAGCUCCUAGUGGUUGUCCCCUGCUCCUAGGGUUUGUCCCCAAAUCCUAGGGUUUGUUCCCAGCUCCUAGGGUUUGUCCCCAGCUCCUAGGGGCCAUCCCCAGCUCCUAGCGGUUGUUCCCAGUUCCUAGGGUUUGUCCCCAGCACCUAGUGGUUGUCCCCUGCUCCUGGUGUUUGCCCCCACAUCCUAGGGUUUGUCCCCAACUGCUAGGGUUUGUCCUCAGCUCCUAGUGGUUGUCCCCUGCUCCUGGAGUUUGUCCCCACAUCCUAGGGUUUGUCCCCAGCUCCUAGUGGUUGUCCCCUGCUCCUAGGGUUUGUCCCCAAAUCCUAGGGUUUGUCCCCAGCUGCUAUCCCCAGCUCCUAGUGGUUGUCCCCAGCUCCUAGUGGUUGCCCCCUGCUCCUAGGGUUUGUCCCCAGCUCCUAGUGGUUGUGCCCUGCUCCUAGUGUUUGUUCCUAAAUCCUAGGGUUUGUCCCCAGCUCCUAGGGGCCGUCCCCAGCUCCUCACCACGUGAACUCUCCCCACAAUUCAGCAAGCGGCAGGGUCACCUGCAGAGCACCCACCAACAAGAAGCCUCACACAGGUGCUGUGGUCGUGAAGCUUCUCCCCCACUGUGGCAUGGUCCGUUGGUUAGAGAGGUCACAGGUCCCUCCACACUCCCAGAAGAGGGGCCUCCCAGGACAUGUCUGUCCACCGAUGACACAAAGUGUCCAUCCGUAGGAUGUACAGUCCUGAGGCUCACCCGGGGUCACCUAGGUCACAUGAUUAUGUUUUAAGUUGCAAUAAUAUAUUUCAAGACUUGGAGUUUCUCUUGAGUUUGACUCCUGAAAAAUUUAAUCUCCUGUCACCUCAACGGUUUAUUCUUGUCAGUUGUGUUGCUUUAAUUUACUGACACUUGUCCCAUGGUGCUUCCUCAUCCCUCAGGUCAGAAAUUUUCCCAGAGAUCCUUCUGUGGGCUCUGCCCUCCCAUGCUCCCGCCCCGGCGAUGACAGCAUCUGUGCCACACGCUCCCCGAGAACCCGAGUUCUGUGUCCCAAGCGGGAAGCAGGGCCUCCUCCGGCGGGUGUCCUGGGGGGCCAGGCCCGGGGGCUUGAGUGGUCAGGACAGCACGAGCCAUGAGCGGUUGGCCGUGGCUGGCGUGGACUCCAUACCAAACGGCAUCAUCAGAAAUGCACGUGCACGUGGACGUGCAGAGUAGACUCGUAGGGACAGUCUGUCACUCUCUCUGCUCUGGGCGGCCCCCCUCCCGGCCAGUCCCCUCCCAGGUGCCACGCUGUCCCCUCACGUGCCACCGCAGCUCGUGCUGGGCCCCGUGGCGGGAGGGUUUCCGUGUGCUCGCUCUCCCAUGUGAACAGCACCCGAGACCAGAACUGGCCCCAGGCCCCAAGCGCUUGGGCUCCUUCUUUUUCCGGAAGGGACCCUGCCCACCUGGUCUGGCCCCGGGCCUCCCCUGGGGCUGCCUGACUCCCUCCCGCGCUUUGUUGAGCUCACUGAUGUGCGGGAUGACGGUGAAGGCAGCAGGGCGCCCCUGGCGGACGUGCCCCCUCACCGGGUGAGGCAGUGACCCCCACGUCCCACUCUCCUGCUCUGGGGGGGUCUCCUGUGGCCUCCAGCUCCCCCACUCGCUGCGCCCCUGGGCUGCAUCAUAACGUCUUCGUGUGAAUCUCCUCUUGCGAUCAGACGGCUUGGCUGACAACCUCCUUCGCCUGUGUAUCUGUGUUUACACUCCCGUCACUCUGUCGGGGUGAAUUCGUACAAUUGGCAGGUGCUGCUUUCCUUACACUCGCCUGUUUCUGGGGGCCCCCUGCCCCCAACCUGGCUCCGUGGCUCCGUCCCGUUCACUUCCAGCCCCCGCCUCAGGCCUCCCCUGAUCCCCGCGGGAAGGGGUCUUGCUCCUCGGCGGGUCCACGACCACGCAUUGGACACUCACGUCCUGUGUCGCUUUGACCUUGCACCACGGUGGUUUCCACCUGCACCAGCUUCCCUGACACGGUCCCAGCUCACGUUCGGCUUUGCGUGCCUGCACAGGUCAGCAAGGGGAACCUGUCACCGGGUGAGAAGCUGUGUUCCAGCCUCCGACCCCCACGGCGGCCGGCCGGCGUCUGACCCUAGGUUUCCCCAGGUGGAAAAUGGGACCUCACACCUGCUUCGAGAGUGGCGAGCUCCGUGGCAAGAAACUGCCAGCACAGUGUGCAGCAGGUUGUGAGAAUCCAGGAAAUACAGCUGCUGCCCCCGUUGUCAUUGGCAGUAGUAGGGACAGACGUUUGUUAAGUGACUGAGUGCGAAGAAACUCCUUAAGGAAGGAGAACUGCAAACGAAGAGAGAGAGAACAAACCAAACCCCAGCUCUUAGAAAGGUCUGUGUUCCCAAGGCAGCCGCGUCCUCUGCCAGCCCGCUGGGGAGUCCGUCACAAGUCUUCGGAGGUCCCUCGUCGUGGCUGCUCCCCUAAGAAGGAGCGUGAGUCCAAGGCUUUUGGGGGCAGUGGUUAGAGAUUUUAGGGUCUCAAAGAUAAGAAUUAGAAAUUUCCCAAACUUUUAAGUGGAGAAGGAGGUAUCUCUCUGUGGGUUUCGGUUCAAGUCUGGGCCGGAACGGUACUGAUUCACCUGUAUUUUCUCGGGACCGUCCCCUUCAGUGCGCGCAGUGGCACAGCUGAUGUACACGCGGUCACGCAGCCGUGCUUACGGGACCGCUUCUCCCCACCCAGGGGGUCCCCACGUGCGUCCACACCGCGUUCACGACCCGCGCGAAGCCCCAGCCGGCCUCCGUCUUCUCACCUCUGCGUCCGGAGCGUCCGCACCCCCUCUCCGUUCCGCAUUCCCUCCCCGUUUUCAGAGCCCGAGCCCGGGAGGGAGAGACAGGACCCUGAGGUGCAAGCAGCUUCCAGAAAAGCCGCAGGGCUCGCCGGCCAGGCCUUCCCUGGCUUUGACUCGCUGAGGCUGCUGAUGAGGGUGUGAGAAAUUCAAGGGCAGGGUCUGCACUUCGCAUUCCCAAAUUUAUUACGGAGGUGGCAGGGGUUGGUGUGCGUGACUCCUCGCACAUCUCCAGAAAUGAAUUUCCUGACAUUUUGCUCUUAAACAAAAUGUAUAUGUGUUACCCGUCAAAAGCAGGUGAUUUGUACGUUCUGAGAUUCACGGGUUCUAGGAGCUGAUCUUCAGCAAUAAUGCUUGAUGGGCCAUUAGAGACAAGAUUUACUUGGUAUUUGUCCUUUUUCCAAAUCUGCACAUUUAUUUAAAACAGCGUCCCGGGCUCUCGGUUGAGGAAUGGUCUCAGACCCAGCUGCCGCACACCGGGCCCCUGCCAAACACCGAUGGUUCACAAGGUGAGGGGAUCCAGGGAAGGGAAGCGAGUAGAGUGAGAGGUGGGCGAGGGGCCCGUGGCGUUCUGCCGGGCAGAACGUGGUGCGAACACACAGAAAGCAGGUGGAGAAUAGAAAAGGGGGCAAAACUCUUCACGUCCCUCAGUUUGCAGAGCUGUUUGCCUCAGUCCGUCCUCCCCCAGCUGGUGAGUCGCGGGGCGGGCUGCAUCCGGUCCAGCGGGACGAAGAAGGAAGCAGGAUGAGCGAGGUGUGGUCUAGAGCCCCGUGGACGUGGGCCAGGGGUGACCUUUGAGUCCCACGUGGUCCCCAGUCCCUCCGGGAGCCAGCAGGGAGCCAGUUUGUCCUCUGGGCCCGUAGGCACACCGGUAAGUGGGGACUUCCAUACCAGGGGAGCGCAGUCUGACAGUCUGGCUGCAGGCUGAGGUCAAAGCCGUGCCUUAGUGGCUGGAGGCCCGCGUCUGAGCGGGGCUCUGCUCUGCUAACCCCCAAGUCCCCUCGCUGCUCUGAUUCUGUUCUCGUUCCCAGAAGGAAGGGGCUGGGCCAGUCGGCACCUGAGGGCCUCACAGGCCAUGGAAACUUCUGAUUUGUCCUUCCCCCCACCGGCCUCUCCUCCUGGUGCACACACGUCCCCAGCUUGGGGACAGCUGGCUGCCCUGGUUUCCCCCCCUCCCUGCCCGUUCCUCACCCUCCACCGGCCUCUCCUCACCUCUGGGACUAGCGCUUUGGCCGGCCGGGACCCCCCCCAUCUCCCCGGUUGUAGUGUCGCUCGGAUGGGGGCUCCAGGCCCUCCCUCCAGCUCACGCCCAGCCCGAACCCGCCGACCCCCUGUGUAUGCUACCACCUGUCCCAGAGCCCUUGGCUUUGUGCCGGGAACCGAGCUCCCGACCUUCCCGCCUCCCCGGUGGGGCCGCCUCAUCCUUCUGGAGCCUCAGCCCCUGCGGUGACCCCGACUCCUCUCUGUCUGUCACGCAGAACCCGGCGGGACGGGCUGCACCCCAUGACCACCCUGGCCGGCUGGACCCACUGCUGCCUCCGGCCGCAUCCCCUUCCACCGUGCUCUGCGCUGCACACGGCAGAGGGAGUCUCCCCGAAAAGAGGAGUCGGUGAUACAUCGAUGCUCCACGUCCCCAGGUGGUCUACAGUUGGUGUCAACACCCAGCCCCUUGGAGUGGUCCGGAGCCCCUAACGCUGCGGCCCGCCUUCCUCCCUGACCCCGCCUCUGAGCUGGCGCCCCAGCCCACCUUCGGGGCGUCCGCGUGCCUGGCCAUCUGCGGGUAGCCCCGCCCCCAGAUGUGUCCGCAGCUCUGUCCCCCGCCCCCGCAGGCUUCCCCCCCGGGGACACUGCCGGUGCCCGUUCCGGCGGGUCUCACACCUCAGGCCGGCCCGUGCACCCCUGGUCCUCACCCCUCUACAGCGUCUCCACAGCAUGCGUUACCUCGGCACAAACACUGUAGUUUUCCCGUUCGUCUGGUCUGUGCUGUGUAUCAGAAACCACACAGGGCGGAGUCUUGUCGUGACCACCCAUGAAUCAGACACGAGGAAAAUAUCUCGGGCUCUCGGGUUGGCUGGUGACGUCGGGUGUGGUGACGGGGCAGCGACCGCAGCAGGUAACAGGAGGAUGGGGUGUAACAGCUGUCUCCUCAAAGGCUUGCUGUGGAUAUUGUACGAGGUCACCGGCGAAGCGGGCGGAGGGCUGCCCACGGCCAGUGCCCAGUGAGGGUCGGUGCUCACGUUAUCCGGGGGUGUGAAUCGCUGGGAUCAACUCAGAGCCACAAGCAGAUGCUACUGAAGGUCACGGUUGGUACGCAGCAUCCGUGGGUGGGAACAGCAGCCCAGGCCCUGAGGGCUGGGAGCUGCGGGGACUCGAGGCCCCAAAAGGCAGGACGGGCAGAGUGUGGCUGGUGAACAGACCCCCCCGUACUGGGCAGACCUGUGGCCUCGGGUCCUGACACGGAGGCCCCUGGGGAAGGAGCGGUGGCCGAUACCUUCGGCUCUCUAGGCUCACUGGUGCGGCUUGAAGAACAUCUGUGUCCUCGUGAGGGCAAGGGUACCUUCUUUUGGGCCAAUCCAGAUUCCUCUGAGCAAAUCCGGUGGUGUUCCUUCCCUGAAGAACGCAAAACCUCAGUGUGGACAGCGACCCACGAAGCCCCUCGGUCGCUUCUCCGGCCCCUCCCCUUGCGUGGCGUCCGUCCGGAGGACAGUUCCCACGGGGAAGAGAAACCACCCAGAGGGGACUCGGGUCACAGUUGGAGGCUGGCCUGCACUUGGGGCCACUUGUCGGUCAGCUGCACGGAGACACCUCCUCCCUCACUUCUGGGGCGGUGACAGCGCCCAGCGCUCACUGGCCUCCCUCCUGGAGGACGACGAAUUUCCGCAUCCCGCGGCAGCUGCAGGCGCUAACAAAGCAAUCCGAGGUGACCCGGAUCUUGGUCCUUUGAAGACUUGGUGUGUUUUCUUGUGUGUUUGUUUGACUGCUUGUUUUAAAGUUUAUUUUUAUUUAUUUUGAGAGACAGCUGGACAGCAAGCAGGGAGGGGCAAAGAGAGAGACAGAGAGAGAGAAUCCCAAGCAGACUUUGUGGUCAGCAUACAACCUGAUGUGGGGCUGGAUCUCAAGAACCGUGAGAUCGUGACCUGAGCCGAAAUCAAGAGUCAGACACCUAACUGACUGAGCCCCCAGGCGCCCCUGAAGGCGUGGUUUUCUAACUGCCUUGAGGUUCCAGGCGCUGCCUGCGGUGGUCUGACUUAGGUAGGGCCCACACUCUCCCUUAAUUCACUGGACGUCCGCCGUCUCGUUCAUCACACGGCAACGACCGUGUGGUACCCGGACCGCGGCCGGGACCCAGGCACAGCCAGGUUCACCAGGCCGGCAGGGCCCGGCCGCCGCUCUGACGGGCUGAGCCCAAGACAGAGGUCCUGCCUGGGUUGGGAUCGGGCCCCGAGCAGCCAGGCUGGUGUGCACCGAGACUUCUGUGGCACAGGAGGCCCCGGGGCUGUGUGCAGUUAAUGUCGUCGAGGAGGGUGCAAGGCUCUUACCUCCCCGCUCACGCGCAGGCUGCCGAGGCACAGAGAGCCGCGCUUGUAGCUGUGAGGACAUUUCAAAUCCAAGACCUUGGGCCCCAGAGCUGAGGCUUCCGGCCGCGGUGUUACCGUCCCAGCCCCAGACCACAGUUAUGGAGGGCGUCUUUGGGGCCCGGGCCUUCAUUCCACAGCGAGCCUGCUGUGUCAGGACCACCUCGUGCAGCUCUGACGACUGUCCACCGGCCUCCUUGUGCUUGGGAUCAGACCUCAGGGCCGGUCUGAAGAGCACUCAAGAGGGGGUCUACCGGGAAAGGCUCCGCCCCAUCUCCUGGCCUGACCGCGGCCGCGCGCGCCCCAGGCGGUCCCCGGGGGGUCACCGUGAGCACACUGCCGAGAGGCAUGGGGCUUCGUAGGCGAAGACGUUUCCAUGCAGCUUCUGCGUCCUGAGAAGGAAAAUCGAAUGCAGUUCACAGUUUUGCAUUCAGUUCUCCACCGGGGUCAAUUAAAUACCCACACUUGUCUGAAGCAGGAGAGCAUCAGCUAAGACUCUUAACGGCUAUUUCCAAGGUCCGGCGGUGGACUGAAACAUCCCGAGGUCAGGGCGGCAGCCGUGACCCCGAGGUCGGGCCGGGGCUGGGCCUUCCGGGGGCGGUGGGAGGAGGGAUACCUCUGCAUGACCGUGCGAGUGGUUAUUUUCACCCGAAACCCAGACGCUUCGAUGUUGUGCAUGAACAUACUCUACAUCUGGGUCUGGGGAGAAUGUGGAGCUCAUUUCUUGUUCGGUAAGUAAUAGAAAGUUCUUGUGGCUUUG